This 274-nucleotide ribosomal RNA is filed under the name uncultured bacterium. RNAcentral's name for it is "partial 16S ribosomal RNA". It matches the Rfam family "Bacterial small subunit ribosomal RNA", at positions 523 to 796 of the family's 1533-position model. The record is from RNAcentral.
AUACGGAGGGUGCAAGCGUUAAUCGGAAUUACUGGGCGUAAAGCGUGCGUAGGCGGUUUAUUAAGUCAGAUGUGAAAGCCCCGGGCUUAACCUGGGAACUGCAUUUGAUACUGGUAGACUAGAGUAUGGUAGAGGGGGGUAGAAUUCCUAGUGUAGCGGUGAAAUGCGUAGAUAUUAGGAGGAAUACCAGUGGCGAAGGCGGCCCCCUGGACCAAUACUGACGCUGAGGUACGAAAGCGUGGGGAGCGAACAGGAUUAGAUACCCGGGUAGUCC